RNAcentral lists this ribosomal RNA (720 nucleotides) under Firmicutes bacterium GM29. Its description in RNAcentral is "bacterial SSU rRNA". It matches the Rfam family "Bacterial small subunit ribosomal RNA", at positions 66 to 769 of the family's 1533-position model. The record is from RNAcentral. Lineage: Bacteria; Bacillati; Bacillota.
GCGGACUUUGGGAGCUUGCUCCCAUUUCGUUUAGCGGCGGACGGGUGAGUAACACGUGGGCAACCUGCCCUGCAGAUCGGGAUAACUCCGGGAAACCGGUGCUAAUACCGAAUAGUUUUUUGCCCCUCCUGGGGCAGAACGGAAAGACGGUUUCGGCUGUCACUGCAGGAUGGGCCCGCGGCGCAUUAGCUAGUUGGUGGGGUAACGGCCUACCAAGGCGACGAUGCGUAGCCGACCUGAGAGGGUGAUCGGCCACACUGGGACUGAGACACGGCCCAGACUCCUACGGGAGGCAGCAGUAGGGAAUCUUCCGCAAUGGACGAAAGUCUGACGGAGCAAUGCCGCGUGAGUGACGAAGGUUUUCGGAUCGUAAAACUCUGUUGUAAGGGAAGAACAAGUACCAAGUAACUACUGGUACCUUGACGGUACCUUACCAGAAAGCCACGGCUAACUACGUGCCAGCAGCCGCGGUAAUACGUAGGUGGCAAGCGUUGUCCGGAAUUAUUGGGCGUAAAGCGCGCGCAGGCGGUCCCUUAAGUCUGAUGUGAAAGCCCACGGCUCAACCGUGGAGGGUCAUUGGAAACUGGGGGACUUGAGUGCAGAAGAGGAAAGUGGAAUUCCAUGUGUAGCGGUGAAAUGCGUAGAGAUGUGGAGGAACACCAGUGGCGAAGGCGACUUUCUGGUCUGUAACUGACGCUGAGGCGCGAAAGCGUGGGGAGC